RNAcentral lists this ribosomal RNA (572 nucleotides) under Staphylococcus cohnii. RNAcentral's name for it is "bacterial LSU rRNA". It matches the Rfam family "Bacterial large subunit ribosomal RNA", at positions 680 to 1249 of the family's 2925-position model. Lineage: Bacteria; Bacillati; Bacillota; Bacilli; Caryophanales; Staphylococcaceae. The record is from RNAcentral.
AGUCUUAACUGGGCGUUAAGUUGCAGGGUAUAGACCCGAAACCCGGUGAUCUAGCCAUGGGCAGGUUGAAGGUUGGGUAACACUAACUGGAGGACCGAACCGACUAAUGUUGAAAAAUUAGCGGAUGACUUGUGGCUGGGGGUGAAAGGCCAAUCAAACCGGGAGAUAGCUGGUUCUCCCCGAAAGCUAUUUAGGUAGCGCCUCGUGAAUUCAUCUCCGGGGGUAGAGCACUGUUUCGGCAAGGGGGUCAUCCCGACUUACCAACCCGAUGCAAACUGCGAAUACCGGAGAAUGUUAUCACGGGAGACACACGGCGGGUGCUAACGUCCGUCGUGAAGAGGGAAACAACCCAGACCGCCAGCUAAGGUCCCAAAGUCAUGGUUAAGUGGGAAACGAUGUGGGAAGGCCCAGACAGCCAGGAUGUUGGCUUAGAAGCAGCCAUCAUUUAAAGAAAGCGUAAUAGCUCACUGGUCGAGUCGGCCUGCGCGGAAGAUGUAACGGGGCUAAACCAUGCACCGAAGCUGCGGCAGCGACGCUUAUGCGUUGUUGGGUAGGGGAGCGUUCUGUAAGCC